GAUGAACGCUGGCGGCGUGCCUAAUACAUGCAAGUCGAGCGAACGGACGAGAAGCUUGCUUCUCUGAUGUUAGCGGCGGACGGGUGAGUAACACGUGGAUAACCUACCUAUAAGACUGGGAUAACCUCGGGAAACCGGAGCUAAUACCGGAUAAUAUUUUGAACCGCAUGGUUCAAAAGUGAAAGACGGUCUUGCUGUCACUUAUAGAUGGAUCCGCGCUGCAUUAGCUAGUUGGUAAGGUAACGGCUUACCAAGGCAACGAUGCAUAGCCGACCUGAGAGGGUGAUCGGCCACACUGGAACUGAGACACGGUCCAGACUCCUACGGGAGGCAGCAGUAGGGAAUCUUCCGCAAUGGGCGAAAGCCUGACGGAGCAACGCCGCGUGAGUGAUGAAGGCCUUCGGAUCGUAAAACUCUAUUAUUAGGGAAGAACAUAUGUGUAAGUAACUGUGCACAUCUUGACGGUACCUAAUCAGAAAGCCACGGCUAACUACGUG
This 497-nucleotide ribosomal RNA is filed under the name uncultured bacterium. RNAcentral describes it as "partial 16S ribosomal RNA". It matches the Rfam family "Bacterial small subunit ribosomal RNA", at positions 28 to 507 of the family's 1533-position model. The record is from RNAcentral.